RNAcentral lists this ribosomal RNA (497 nucleotides) under uncultured bacterium. RNAcentral describes it as "partial 16S ribosomal RNA". It matches the Rfam family "Bacterial small subunit ribosomal RNA", at positions 28 to 507 of the family's 1533-position model. The record is from RNAcentral.
GAUGAACGCUGGCGGCGUGCCUAAUACAUGCAAGUCGAGCGAACAGACGAGGAGCUUGCUCCUUUGACGUUAGCGGCGGACGGGUGAGUAACACGUGGGUAACCUACCUAUAAGACUGGGAUAACUUCGGGAAACCGGAGCUAAUACCGGAUAAUAUUUCGAACCGCAUGGUUCGAUAGUGAAAGAUGGCUUUGCUGUCACUUAUAGAUGGACCUGCGCCGUAUUAGCUAGUUGGUAAGGUAACGGCUUACCAAGGCAACGAUCCGUAGCCGACCUGAGAGGGUGAUCGGCCACGCUGGAACUGAGACACGGUCCAGACUCCUACGGGAGGCAGCAGUAGGGAAUCUUCCGCAAUGGGCGAAAGCCUGACGGAGCAACGCCGCGUGAGUGAUGAAGGUCUUCGGAUCGUAAAGCUCUGUUAUUAGGGAAGAACAAACGUGUAAGUAACUGUGCACGUCUUGACGGUACCUAAACAGAAAGCCACGGCUAACUACGUG